Molecule: ribosomal RNA, 840 nt
Filed under: Cytospora leucostoma
Lineage: Eukaryota; Fungi; Ascomycota; Sordariomycetes; Diaporthales; Cytosporaceae
Description: partial large subunit ribosomal RNA
Rfam family: Eukaryotic large subunit ribosomal RNA
Source: RNAcentral
ACAGGGAUUGCCCUAGUAACGGCGAGUGAAGCGGCAACAGCUCAAAUUUGAAAGCUGGCUCCGGCCCGCGUUGUAAUUUGCAGAGGAUGCUUUUGGCGAGGUGCCUUCCGAGUUCCCUGGAACGGGACGCCAUAGAGGGUGAGAGCCCCGUAUGGAUGGACACCAGACCUGUGUAAAGCUCCUUCAACGAGUCGAGUAGUUUGGGAAUGCUGCUCUAAAUGGGAGGUAAAUCUCUUCUAAAGCUAAAUACCGGCCAGAGACCGAUAGCGCACAAGUAGAGUGAUCGAAAGAUGAAAAGCACCUUGAAAAGGGGGUUAAACAGUACGUGAAAUUGUUGAAAGGGAAGCAUUUAUGACCAGACUUGCGCCGGGCAGCUCAUCAGGGGUUCUCCCCUGUGCACUCUGCCCGGCUCAGGCCAGCAUCGGUUCUCGUGGGAGGAUAAGAACAGUGGGAACGUGGCCCCCCUCCGGGGGGGUGUUAUAGCCCAUUGUACGAUACUCUCGUGGGGACCGAGGUUCGCGCUCCGCAAGGAUGCUGGCGUAAUGGUCAUCAAUGACCCGUCUUGAAACACGGACCAAGGAGUCGUCCAUUAGAGCGAGCGUUUGGGUGUAAAACCCGCACGCGUAAUGAAAGUGAACGCAGGUGAGAGCUUCGGCGCAUCAUCGACCGAUCCUGAUGUCUUCGGAUGGAUUUGAGUAAGAGUUUUAACGGACGGACCCGAAAGACAGUGAACUAUGCUUGUAUAGGGUGAAGCCAGAGGAAACUCUGGUGGAGGCUCGCAGCGGUUCUGACGUGCAAAUCGAUCGUCAAAUAUGAGCAUGGGGGCGAAAGACUAAUCGA